RNAcentral lists this long non-coding RNA (1298 nucleotides) under Nicotiana tabacum (common tobacco). RNAcentral's name for it is "long non-coding RNA (NTAB_LNC014231)". The record is from RNAcentral. Lineage: Eukaryota; Viridiplantae; Streptophyta; Magnoliopsida; Solanales; Solanaceae.
UUCAGAUGUCCAAACUUUAAAGAUCAAAAUUAUUAAAAUGGAUAGUUCAACUGAACUUACAUAAUUCUAAUCAUGAACAAAAUAAACUUAGUAUUAUGAAAUCAUUACAUCUGGCUAAUUAUUCUAAUAAUUGCAGCUAUAACUUCAUUGAAAAGCUAUACAAGUACUCAUGUUAAACCCCAAAAUCUGUCUAUCAAGUGAAAGAAGAAAGUUAUAACUAACAUUACAAUGUACCAUUAUUUACAUUCAAACUCCAAAUAAGCUGCAUAAACAGGCUAGUAUAACUAUGACUCUCACAUUUAUCAUUUCAUAAUACAAUUAAAUAAAAGUUGUUCCUAACUGCAGCCUAAUAAAUAUAGAUCCUUCACGAGACCAUUAGCUUUCAGAUUGCGCCUGAAUCUCCAACGAUGCUCUUGGACGUUAUUUCGGCCUCAAUGUUUACAGAUUUGGCCAAUUAUGGUCAAGUCUUCAAAUUAUGGCACUGCGGAUAGUAAACAACAAAUCAUCCUUACUCCCAACUUUAAUAGGAAACAUCUUACCAUAUUCAAAGUAUGGUAAUGGCACUUUACUUGAAUUCUAUGUAUUGAUAAUCCAUGACAUCACACAAAUCAACAAACAAUCAUUCAAACUCUGAAGGAGAAGACAAAUUCAGACUUAAAACUAGAGCUUGCAGCUAUAAAAGUACAAUUCAUCAAACAACAAGUGAAGAACUAUUGCAAUUUUUCACGGUAAUAUAGUAUUAUAAUGACAGUUACAUCACUAGAGAUUAGAAGUAGUACCUUGACAGCAGUAAAAACAACAAGAAAAUAAGAUUAUGACUUGGAGAAAUGCAGCUAAAUAGAGUCAGCUUCAGCUUAAUCAAACAGUAUCAAACAACAAAAAUGAAGCCCCACGAAACUUCAAACCCAGAACUUGAAAAGAAAUAGCUAUCCAAUGAUGAAGCAAGCUAAUGAAAACAAUUGGUUUUUUUUUGUUGUUUCUGAAAUGUCAAAGUUGGUUUUCCAGAAAUUUUCUUUACUAAAAAUGAAAAUGAAGACAAUGGACUCUCAAAAAUCAAUGUAGAAUUAGUGAGGAAAUGCAAGGAGUAAUUCUGACUUCAGGGUGCUUUUUCGUGUGUCUUUUUCUGCAGAGAAUUCCUCUCUUAUAUAGAAUAUAUGAGAGCCUUAUUAGAGAAUGAGAUAAGGUACAAAAAGAAUCUACCCUCCUUCCAUAAAUUCAGGGGAAUGACAUCUUUUUGUACCAGAAAAUGGACAGCCGUAUCUAAAUUCAACAUCUUAUCUCAACAAUAUCGGGACAGA